AUAUCAAUAAGCGGAGGAAAAGAAACCAACAGGGAUUGCCCCAGUAACGGCGAGUGAAGCGGCAACAGCUCAAAUUUGAAAUCUGGCCCCCAGGGCCCGAGUUGUAAUUUGCAGAGGAUGCUUUUGGCGCGGUGCCUUCCGAGUUCCCUGGAACGGGACGCCAUAGAGGGUGAGAGCCCCGUCUGGUCGGACGCCUAGCCUGUGUAAAGCUCCUUCGACGAGUCGAGUAGUUUGGGAAUGCUGCUCUAAAUGGGAGGUAUAUGUCUUCUAAAGCUAAAUACCGGCCAGAGACCGAUAGCGCACAAGUAGAGUGAUCGAAAGAUGAAAAGCACUUUGAAAAGAGGGUUAAAUAGUACGUGAAAUUGUUGAAAGGGAAGCGCUUGUGACCAGACUUGGGCCCGGUGGAUCAUCCAGCGUUCUCGCUGGUGCACUCCGCCGGGUUCAGGCCAGCAUCAGUUCGCCGCGGGGGAAAAAGGCUUCGGGAACGUGGCUCCUACGGGAGUGUUAUAGCCCGUUGCAUAAUACCCUGGGGCGGACUGAGGUUCGCGCUCCGCAAGGAUGCUGGCGUAAUGGUCAUCAGCGA
This 583-nucleotide ribosomal RNA is filed under the name Clavicipitaceae sp. ATCC MYA-2999. Its description in RNAcentral is "eukaryotic LSU rRNA". It matches the Rfam family "Eukaryotic large subunit ribosomal RNA", at positions 40 to 647 of the family's 3401-position model. Lineage: Eukaryota; Fungi; Ascomycota; Sordariomycetes; Hypocreales; Clavicipitaceae. The record is from RNAcentral.